This is a long non-coding RNA of Oncorhynchus tshawytscha (Chinook salmon), 658 nucleotides long. RefSeq lists it as uncharacterized. The transcript is spliced from 4 exons. The record is from RefSeq and is a predicted model, not a curated record. NCBI's taxonomy places the organism in Eukaryota, Metazoa, Chordata, Actinopteri, Salmoniformes, Salmonidae.
CCAGAAAUGACAGAAAAUAUUUAGAUAUCUCCACCGAACAGAGAGAGCUAAGUGAGACAGACAGAGGGCUGGUACACGGUAGGGAGUGAAGAUGCUGGUUGAGAUCUGCACCGUGGCUAUCUGCUGGGUCAUAACAGCAAGCUGUAGUCAGUGCAUAGAGCCUCGUGAGACAGGUACAAACUUCUCCAUCACAGUGACCCAAGACGUUACAGGAGAGGCUGGACGGUGCAUUCCUAUAUCAUGUAAAUUCACAUACCCAGGCAACGUUACUGAAUACGUACGAAGAGUCUGGUUCAAAGGAGAUCCACUUACACCUGUAUUUGAAAAAGAUGCAGAGGUGUGCGGUGUUGUUUGGCAGUUCCUGAGAGGUCCUGAAAGGUCUUGCAGCUUUUUCCUCGAAGACCAACAAGAAGGAGAACACGAGUAUAGAUUCAAGUUAACAUGGGGAGAUGAUCAAAUGUAUGUUUUUCCUGAGAGGGUACAAGUCUCAGUGUCUGCUCUAACCCAGAAGACGCCCACUGUGGAGACACCCCCUCUCACAGAGGGAGAGAGGGCCACACUGACCUGCAAAGUAUAUUCACUCAAACGAAAUGACCUCUGCCCGCAAAGACUAGAAGAAGAUUUUGUUGGAAUAGUCUGGAGAGGGACAGAGAACUUA